Molecule: unclassified non-coding RNA, 253 nt
Filed under: uncultured Parcubacteria group bacterium
Lineage: Bacteria
Description: contains 16S-23S intergenic spacer region
Rfam family: Bacterial small subunit ribosomal RNA
Source: RNAcentral
UACGAGUGCCUCGAGCGUUAUCCGGAAUCACUGGGCGUAAAGGGUGCGCAGGCGGCUUUGUUAGUCUUACGUUAAACCUUCGGGCUCAACCCGAAGAUCGCGUAGGAAACGGCAAAGCUAGAGGGCAGGAGAGGUGUGCGGAACUCACGGUGUAGGGGUGAAAUCCGUUGAUAUCGUGGGGAACACCAAAAGCGAAGGCAGCACACUGGCCUGUUUCUGACGCUCAUGCACGAAAGCGUGGGUAGCGAAAGGG